Molecule: ribosomal RNA, 676 nt
Filed under: Bacillus subtilis
Lineage: Bacteria; Bacillati; Bacillota; Bacilli; Caryophanales; Bacillaceae
Description: bacterial SSU rRNA
Rfam family: Bacterial small subunit ribosomal RNA
Source: RNAcentral
AGGGCUCGCAGGCGGUUUUUUAAGUUCUGAAUGUGAAAGCCCCCGGCUCAACCGGGGAGGGUCAUUGGAAACUGGGAAACUUGAGUGCAGAAGAGGAGAGUGGAAUUCCACGUGUAGCGGUGAAAUGCGUAGAGAUGUGGAGGAACACCAGUGGCGAAGGCGACUCUCUGGUCUGUAACUGACGCUGAGGAGCGAAAGCGUGGGGAGCGAACAGGAUUAGAUACCCUGGUAGUCCACGCCGUAAACGAUGAGUGCUAAGUGUUAGGGGGUUUCCGCCCCUUAGUGCUGCAGCUAACGCAUUAAGCACUCCGCCUGGGGAGUACGGUCGCAAGACUGAAACUCAAAGGAAUUGACGGGGGCCCGCACAAGCGGUGGAGCAUGUGGUUUAAUUCGAAGCAACGCGAAGAACCUUACCAGGUCUUGACAUCCUCUGACAACCCUAGAGAUAGGGCUUUCCCUUCGGGGACAGAGUGACAGGUGGUGCAUGGUUGUCGUCAGCUCGUGUCGUGAGAUGUUGGGUUAAGUCCCGCAACGAGCGCAACCCUUGAUCUUAGUUGCCAGCAUUUAGUUGGGCACUCUAAGGUGACUGCCGGUGACAAACCGGAGGAAGGUGGGGAUGACGUCAAAUCAUCAUGCCCCUUAUGACCUGGGCUACACACGUGCUACAAUGGACAGA